RNAcentral lists this long non-coding RNA (617 nucleotides) under Canis lupus familiaris (dog). RNAcentral describes it as "lncRNA (ENSCAFG00000045705.2)". The record is from RNAcentral. Lineage: Eukaryota; Metazoa; Chordata; Mammalia; Carnivora; Canidae.
GUACAUGCUUCUAAGACCUGAAACGGUGGGUUCAGUCUUGCGCCCAGGAACCUCCCACAUCCGCCCUCGUGCUGACCAUGUGCCUCCGCGCUCGGGGCCCCGCCUGCAAGCUCUAAGGCUUCGAAGUUACCUUUGGCGCCAUCACAUCUUUUCUGUGUCCAUGAAGAGAAGACGGUCCCGCGUGGCGCUGUGUGACCUCACGAUGCCGCUGACCCCAGGACCCUUGAGGUCCCUGACCCUUGCUGCCAUGGCCUGCCCAACAGAGCCCCCCACCCCGCCCCCGGGGCCCCAGUAGGGGCUCGAACCCCUGGCGCGGGGAGGCCGUCACCCCGGGCCCGUCCAGAGCGCCCGCUCCCCCGGCGCACGGCGCGCCUCUUCCCUGGCGGGCGGUUAUUACUGUCCUGCCGCGUGACAUCAUAAUAGGCUGCUGUCCCGGAACACAAAAGCCCUCGGAGACGGUGAGGAGACACGUCCUAUUUAUGCCGUCACCGACGAGACAGCAGUGGGGACGGGGGGAGAGUCAACAUCUGUACCCCGGGAAUAACAAUGACCUUGUUCUCUCUUCUAUCUCUGAAGUCUGCUUAAAUCACGCCCUGCGUGCGCGCGGGCAAGAGUGG